This 1518-nucleotide ribosomal RNA is filed under the name Mycolicibacterium sp. BK607. RNAcentral's name for it is "bacterial SSU rRNA". It matches the Rfam family "Bacterial small subunit ribosomal RNA". The record is from RNAcentral. RNAcentral also lists the same sequence under 2 other names. Lineage: Bacteria; Bacillati; Actinomycetota; Actinomycetes; Mycobacteriales; Mycobacteriaceae.
UGUUUGGAGAGUUUGAUUCUGGCUCAGGACGAACGCUGGCGGCGUGCUUAACACAUGCAAGUCGAACGGUAAGGCCUUCGGGUACACGAGUGGCGAACGGGUGAGUAACACGUGGGUGAUCUGCCCUGCACUUUGGGAUAAGCCUGGGAAACUGGGUCUAAUACCGAAUAGGACUACGGCCUGCAUGGGUUGUGGUGGAAAGCUUUUGCGGUGUGGGAUGGGCCCGCGGCCUAUCAGCUUGUUGGUGAGGUCACGGCUCACCAAGGCGACGACGGGUAGCCGGCCUGAGAGGGUGACCGGCCACACUGGGACUGAGAUACGGCCCAGACUCCUACGGGAGGCAGCAGUGGGGAAUAUUGCACAAUGGGCGCAAGCCUGAUGCAGCGACGCCGCGUGAGGGAUGACGGCCUUCGGGUUGUAAACCUCUUUCAGUAGGGACGAAGCGCAAGUGACGGUACCUAUAGAAGAAGGACCGGCCAACUACGUGCCAGCAGCCGCGGUAAUACGUAGGGUCCGAGCGUUGUCCGGAAUUACUGGGCGUAAAGAGCUCGUAGGUGGUUUGUCGCGUUGUUCGUGAAAACUCACAGCUUAACUGUGGGCGUGCGGGCGAUACGGGCAGACUUGAGUACUGCAGGGGAGACUGGAAUUCCUGGUGUAGCGGUGGAAUGCGCAGAUAUCAGGAGGAACACCGGUGGCGAAGGCGGGUCUCUGGGCAGUAACUGACGCUGAGGAGCGAAAGCGUGGGGAGCGAACAGGAUUAGAUACCCUGGUAGUCCACGCCGUAAACGGUGGGUACUAGGUGUGGGUUUCCUUCCUUGGGAUCCGUGCCGUAGCUAACGCAUUAAGUACCCCGCCUGGGGAGUACGGCCGCAAGGCUAAAACUCAAAGAAAUUGACGGGGGCCCGCACAAGCGGCGGAGCAUGUGGAUUAAUUCGAUGCAACGCGAAGAACCUUACCUGGGUUUGACAUGCACAGGACGCUGGUAGAGAUAUCAGUUCCCUUGUGGCCUGUGUGCAGGUGGUGCAUGGCUGUCGUCAGCUCGUGUCGUGAGAUGUUGGGUUAAGUCCCGCAACGAGCGCAACCCUUAUCUUAUGUUGCCAGCGCGUAAUGGCGGGGACUCGUGAGAGACUGCCGGGGUCAACUCGGAGGAAGGUGGGGAUGACGUCAAGUCAUCAUGCCCCUUAUGUCCAGGGCUUCACACAUGCUACAAUGGCCGGUACAAAGGGCUGCGAUGCCGUGAGGUGGAGCGAAUCCUUUCAAAGCCGGUCUCAGUUCGGAUCGGGGUCUGCAACUCGACCCCGUGAAGUCGGAGUCGCUAGUAAUCGCAGAUCAGCAACGCUGCGGUGAAUACGUUCCCGGGCCUUGUACACACCGCCCGUCACGUCAUGAAAGUCGGUAACACCCGAAGCCGGUGGCCUAACCCCUUGUGGGAGGGAGCCGUCGAAGGUGGGAUCGGCGAUUGGGACGAAGUCGUAACAAGGUAGCCGUACCGGAAGGUGCGGCUGGAUCACCUCCUUU